RNAcentral lists this long non-coding RNA (1375 nucleotides) under Pan troglodytes (chimpanzee). RNAcentral describes it as "lncRNA (ENSPTRG00000054494.1)". The record is from RNAcentral. Lineage: Eukaryota; Metazoa; Chordata; Mammalia; Primates; Hominidae.
UGAAACACAAGCUGCUGAGCUUUACUCCAGAAUUUCUGGUUCAGUAGGUCUGCAGUAGGACCUGAAAUUUUAUAUUUCUAACAAGUUUUCAGGAGCUGCUGAUGCCGCUAGUACAGGGCUCACAUUUUGAGAACCUCUGGUCUAGCAAGUUGCCACCAAGAAUGAAGAUUGGGCCAGAGAACAAGAAACAAGUCAACAUUUUGAUUUCAAACAUCAGAAAAGGUGUCCAGAAAUCUCAAGAAUUUGAGACAUCCUAAGGAACUUUAAGUGCUGUGAGCCACAAGUAACAUCAAGAAAAGACAGGGAUGAAGAACCGCACUUACAAGCUCAGUAAGAUUAAACCCAGCAUGGAGAUAUAUGAAUUAAUAUGAACUCUGAGAAAGAAAUUGGUCAGCUAAAAAAUAUAUGGCUUUCCUGAAUAGACAAAAGAACAAAGAUUUUCCCUUUGGAAAUGCAGUAGACAUUUGUCACCAGCAGCUCUUUGGAGACUUCAAUGUUCCUUCCUCCCAGGAUCUGAAAGGGGACUUCAGACACGGAGAAUCUAAGACACCAGGAGCUCAGAAGAAUGGAGUCUCAAGACAUCAGGCAAAUACCGAAGAGAUCAGAGCCAAGUUCUAAAGGGCAGCCAUUUCCCAAAUGUCAACCAAGAGCGAAGCCAAGAGAAUUAUGAUUUCCUGGCUAUACAAUCACAGGAAAAGCCUGAUCAAAGCUGGAGUGCAAGUUAAAAAGUGUAAGGUACUCAAGUGCUAGGGUCUGUGUCCAAGCCCAAUCAAUUGAUCAUUAGUUGUUUUUAACUUCAACGUUUCUUUUGCAACAGCACCUCUUCCUUAAAGUAGCAAUCUUAGCAGACUGCCACCUUACAUGAUGCAUCUUAUUCUCCAAGGACAAUGAAGACUGAACUAUCGCACAUUACCUAAGAAAGAUGGGAAUUGACGUGCACAUCACAAUUGUAUACACAACAGAAAUUAUUGAAUCAUGAGAUAUACAUUCCGGUGUGUGACAGAUUGGCACAUGACAUAAUCUGGGUUCUUUAUAGACUCAGUUGUUUUGGGUCGAUCUAGAUUAUCAAGAGAAGAGCCUUCAUGCUUAGCUUUAUCUUGUACCAACCACCAGGGCCCUUGCUUCUGAGCAGGAAGCAGCUGGGGAAUAGGCUCUUCCUCUUAAUGACUUCCAACAUAGUUCUCUCAAACCUUACUCCUCCAGAAGGCCACCCUCACCUGGCUAUGGCUACUUCAGAAAAGACUUGGCCUCUGGUAUAAUAGAGCAGAAUCAUCACCUCACAUUCUAUUUCAAGCCAAAGUGAAUAUCUCAAAGGCUGGUUCUGUGAUUUAUUUGGCCCUUGGGAGCUCCUACUGAAAGUGCUGAAAUGUCGUAC